GCUGGGUGUGGUAGCGGACACCUGUAGUCCCACCUACUCAGGAGGCUGAAGCAGGAGAAUGGCGUGAACCCGGGAGGCAGAGCUUGCAGUGAGCUGAGAUCGCGCCACUGCACUCCAGCCUGGGCGACAGAGCGAGACUCCAUCUCAAAAAAAAAAAAAAAAAAAAAGGCCAAAAGAUG
Molecule: small RNA, 179 nt
Filed under: Pongo abelii (Sumatran orangutan)
Lineage: Eukaryota; Metazoa; Chordata; Mammalia; Primates; Hominidae
Source: RNAcentral